RNAcentral lists this long non-coding RNA (419 nucleotides) under Homo sapiens (human). RNAcentral describes it as "HSALNT0077925". Lineage: Eukaryota; Metazoa; Chordata; Mammalia; Primates; Hominidae. The record is from RNAcentral.
UCUUCCUCCUGCUCCAGCCAUGUAAACUGUGCCUUCUUCCCCUUGGCCUUCCACUAUAACUGUACAUUUCCUGAGGCCUCCCCAGGCAUGCUUCCUAUAGAGUCUGCAGAAUGGAUAAAACAAUUCAUUACCACCAGAGUGAGAAAGCCAUGCCAUCCAAACCUCAAAAGAAACAGUCCAAACCCCUCCUCAACCAGAGACAUGCCAGCCCUGAGAUAAUCCGCCUACGGCUGGGAAGAUGUCAGCCCUGAGAUAACCUCCCUUCUGGAAAGAUAUCAGCCCCAAGAUAACCUCCCCUCUGCCCAGAGACAUUCCAACCCCACCAUAAAACUUCUCCCCUACACAGAAACAUUCCAAGCCAGAAGCCCCUCUCAGGUUUAUUUUUCUAAAAUAAAACUGUCUUUGACUGUUGAUCCGCA